AUGACUAGGGAUAACCUUAGGAAGAGACACAUCAUCAAACCCCUUGAUUGUGUUUACUGCUUGGAACAAGAGUCUUGUUCUCACCUAUUUUUUGAAUGUAUAGUUGCUAAACAUCUCUGGGCCCACAUUGAGGAAUAUUUCUCUAGUCAGAUUGGCUCAUCCUUCGAAUCUGUCUCCAGAUUCUGGAUUGCUACCAAAAAGUGCUCAGUUUUAAACACGGUUAGCUCAGCUGUCCUUUGGUGCCUCUGGAAAUAUAGAAAUGCUAUGAUUUUCAGUAACACCUCCUGGAUUUCCAUUCCGCAGGUCUUGAGGUUGAUCACGAACAUGGUGAGGAACUGGGCGAUUCUCUCCUCCGGAUCGGACAAGGACAAGUUGAUGAGCUUCAUGGAAACCCUAACAAGAUCCCUCCAGAAACCAUUGGCGAUCACUUGUGGCUGA
This 438-nucleotide ribosomal RNA is filed under the name Triticum aestivum (bread wheat). RNAcentral describes it as "partial small subunit ribosomal RNA". The record is from RNAcentral. Lineage: Eukaryota; Viridiplantae; Streptophyta; Magnoliopsida; Poales; Poaceae.